RNAcentral lists this transfer RNA (77 nucleotides) under Ginkgo biloba (maidenhair tree). RNAcentral's name for it is "tRNA-Ile". It matches the Rfam family "tRNA". Rfam says of the family: Transfer RNA (tRNA) molecules are approximately 80 nucleotides in length. Lineage: Eukaryota; Viridiplantae; Streptophyta; Ginkgoopsida; Ginkgoales; Ginkgoaceae. The record is from RNAcentral.
UGGGCUAUUAGCUCAGUGGUAGAGCGCGCCCCUGAUAAUUGCCGGGCGAGGUCUCUGGUUCAAGUCCAGGAUAGCCC